AAGUGUGCAGCUGGAUUAAUCGUGUAUGUAGAUAAGAUAUGCCGCUGUUCCUUGAUAAGCUAAUAUGGUUACGAAGGUAUACCGCCGUAUCCUGGGUGCUUCAGUUUAGUACUCCACAGAUGGUUGCAAUUCAACUGCGUCUAGGUAGGCCUAAACCCGUGUAACAUAGCAAACUAACAUAUAGGUACUGCAGCAUAAACAGCGUUUCAACGCCUAUUACAAUAUAUUAAGUAAGCACCGUAAGGCUGUGAUAGGUCAUAGCCGUUUGUCUCUUAACUGCGUCUAAUUAAUUAUGGCAUAGGCCUGCAACAACAAUGAAUGCAAAAGAAAUGGAAAUCAAUUGUAAGAACU
This is a non-coding RNA of Pelobates cultripes (western spadefoot toad), 351 nucleotides long. NCBI's taxonomy places the organism in Eukaryota, Metazoa, Chordata, Amphibia, Anura, Pelobatidae. The record is from the annotation of a GenBank genome assembly.